ACAAGGAGAGUCACGACACCAUCACUAAUGUUGUUUCUUCAUCUUCGUCAUGUCAUCUCCUUUUCCUUUAGUCCUAUUGCAAACCAAUCAAACCCACCUCUUGCUUUUCUCUUUCGGCAAGUAUUCACCAAAACUGCAUUAUUGAUAGGGCAUUGAAUGAAAUGACACCAUCACUAUUGUUAUGCGUUGAGCUUUUUCCUUUUUCUUUUACGUAUAUCGUUCUUCUUUUUUCGGUUUUCUUUUCCAAAAUGUUGACUGAUUAUAACGAAAUGGUUUCUUUCCACAUGCUGCCGCUGGAUAAGGAAUCAAAUCAAUGGCGAAAGGAAGAAUAACAUCCCUUCCUUUCCACACUCAUUGAAUAACAUUACUUGCUUCUUAUCUUUUCUAUUUUCCUUGUGAUUCUUCCUUGAUUAUACUUGCUAUGGCGCUUCUCUUCUGUUUGCUAACAUCUCUCUGCUACUUCAUCCUAUUGCUGAAUUUCUAAAUAAACACUUCUUUUCUUUUUAUACAAGGCAAAGUAAAAAAAUACAGGGUGAGUACAAAGUGUAAUGCAACAUAGUGGGUAUAAAAAAAAAAAAAUGCAAACGUGAGAGAGGAAGCAAAACACAGGAAGGAAUGCAGGCCUAAUCAGUAAUCACUCAAGGACCAAAUGAGACAAAGAAAGGAAGAUGCCACCAUAUUUGCAUAUGUUGCAGCUUAAUAGAGGAUCCAUCUGUACGUUUUAUUGAUAUGGCUGGUAAUGGUACUUAAUUUGCACAUAGUUUCACAAACUUUUAUAUUUUUUCUAUUUAAAUUAAGUGAUUGUGGACUUGUAGUUAUACAUCUUAAACAAGAGGCUUUAUUCACAAAAAUACACACCAAGAAUAAAAUAGAAAAAUACAACAAUAAAUUUAAAAAAUAAAAUAAAGAACAAGAAGACAAGAGUAGGGUGGGAAUGUAAGUGCAUGCAUAAAAUAAUUUGAAAAUUCGAUACCUUGUGGAUGUUGAAGAUUGCCAUAAUGUGUUGUAAAGGCUCCAAUUCUACACAUAUUGUCCUAUUGAUAAAAUUAAUAUUGAUGGUGAAAAAUCCAAAUAGACAGUUUAUGGAUUAACGAUUUAAACCCUCAGUCGGCUUCCUUCCAAAUUUUAAUUGAUUUGCAUUAACCAAUUUCAUUAGUAGAGGUUAUCAUAUUCCAACUUCCCAAUUUUAGAUAGAUUGAGAUUCGAUCAAAGGAAAGUCAAAACUUAAUUUGAUCAAUCAAAUGGCACUCAAAGAGGAGUUGAAAACUUCAUAAACUAUUUCUCUUGAGCUACUUCUUGCACAAAUGGUGUUGAGCAAACACAUUUGACUAUUAUAUAGUGUCAUUGAAUUUGCCAACUCAAAACCUAACAACGUUGGGUAUAAUUUGUGUUCUACCUUGUUAGGGUCAUAUUUUCUAUGUAAUUGGCUAAUUCUUUGACAAAAUGCACUUUACUUGUACUUAGGUAGAUCUAAGUUGGGUUUAAUAUAUCAAGAAAUAUGUUGUUCAAACGUAUCAAGUGGUAUUAUUAAAGACAUGAAGAUUGAUCCAAGAAACAAGUGAAGAAAAGCCGUUCAUUAAAACUCAACAUAAAGCUCAACAGAAAGCUGAUAUCAAGGACUAUUGAAGAAGCUCGACACAAGCAUAAUCUAUCGAGAAUUACAAUUUCAAAAAUUCCAGAUCUGAAAUUCGGCCCAUGAUGACUUGUUUGGUUAAGGUUUCUUUUCCUACAAUCCUAGUCAUAUAUAAGCUUAUUUUAAAAGCCAUCACACAUGAAAACAGAGACCAAGAGCUCAUAUUCUCUGUAAGAAGCUACUGCGUUUGUGCGCCUUAGGGUUUUGUAACCAAGUGCUUCCUGAUCUUUAUUGUUGUUGAAGUGAAGAACUUUGUAUUUAGUCACAUAUUGGAGAUUUGUGCAACAAAGGAAAGAAGUCUGCUACAAGAUCAAGUCCAAUUGGGCAUUGGAGUAAGGAUUCAACUAAAGGUUGGUAUUUUGGGAUAAGCUAGGGUAGUGGUAAGAUUCCUCAUACUUGUAAUCGCUUGGUUAUUGAUUAGUAGAUUCUUGGAAGUGGUGAACUUAAAUUCUCUUAGUAGGGUUUUUGCCUUGCGAGGGUUUUUCCCCAUUUGUCAACAAAUCACCAAGUUAAUUUUUUUUCAGCUGCAUAUUGUUAGGGUCAUAUUUUCUAUGUAAUUGGCUAAUCCUUUGAUGAAAUGCACUUGUAAUUGAGUA
Molecule: long non-coding RNA, 2229 nt
Organism: Quercus robur (English oak)
Lineage: Eukaryota; Viridiplantae; Streptophyta; Magnoliopsida; Fagales; Fagaceae
Exons: 2
Source: RefSeq, a predicted model, not a curated record